CACAAACUGAUGGCUUUCCAGUCGCGCGUUUCAAACUAUGACAUCUUUCUUCAGAGGGAAGCAGGCGCAAAGACGUUAUGUAUUUCAUGCCUGGCAGAGCCACCAGCGAACGCAGCAGCGGUUCGAUUGGCCGCCCCGGAGCGCCCGCGGCGGGGCAGAGAGUGCCCGGAACACGGGCGGCGGCGAGUGGCGCCCGGCGGGGCACCGUUGCCGGCGGCACCGGUAGCGCGGCGGCGGGGGAGGAGGAGGGCCUGGAACGUGUUAAUUCGUCACUUCCCCGCUCUCCUGGGCCGGAAGAGAACGGCGGUCGCCAUGGCGAGCCGCGGGCAGGUUUUGAAGCUUUUUAAAUUACUACACAGAACCCGGCAAGAAGUUUUUAAAAAUGAUACCAGAGCUCUUGAAGCUGCAAGACAAAAGAUAAAUGAAGAAUUCAGGAAUAACCAAUAUGAGACAUCUGAAGAGAAGAUAAGUGAGCUUCUGAAAGUAGGUUCAGAUGUUGAAGUGAUUCUCAGAACUUCUGUUAUUCAGGCAGUUCACACAGAUUCCGACAAAAUAUGACAAGAGAGAAGAUCUGGGAAACUGGUCAGCCUCACCUUGAUAUCUGGGAAGCUGGCUGAGCCACUCAUGGAAGGUGUUUCCAGAUGUUCUAAGAACGGCAUGGGGACUGGGAGUUGUCAGCAAGGAUUUACAAAGGGGACAUCUUCUCUGACUGAUAUCCUUUUACAGUGAAAUGACUUGACUUAGUGGACAAGGGGAGAGUAGUGGUGUUUGUCCGUUUUGACUGUAGCAGAGCUUUAAUAUUGCUUCCUUUACAAUCUCCAUAAAUAAAAAGUGAUACAAUUGCCACCACCUAAUUCUGCAGACUUCUGAGAGACAUGAUGGCAAUGAGGUUUGUGCGGAAGGAAGAAGUCUUCCAGAGUCUGAUACUGACCAGGAAAAUUUUGUCCUGCAGCAAAAAAUGUGGAGUAUGUCUGUACACACAGUGUAUUUGACCUGCUUAUGAAUGCAAGAGGUGUCAUUAUCCAGUCUCUUGCCAAUUCUUCUUUUUUGUUGUUUUGUUUUGGAGGUUUGUUUGGUUUGGUUUUUGUUUGUUUGCUUUCUGUAUCUGUUUUGGAUAGAUAUAAGCUUUGCUUCUCUGUAAUUGAUCUUACUGCAGUAAGAACAAUACAAUAAUCUUGAAACAGCCAUUUCAGUUUGAGAGCUGUGUGUCUGGAAUAUAUAUUGAAGUGAGAAAUAUUUUGUCUUGAUAAUGUAUUGAAUCACCAAUUUAAGAUCAGGAAUGCUUAGAAAAGAAAUCCAGAGCAUCAUGAUAGAAGUUCACAGAAUAAUAUUGAACAAUACAAAAAAAAUGCAUAGAAUGGAUAGAUAUUCUUACUUGUCCUGGUUAAUUUAAAAUGUAAAGAGUAUUCAGUAAAGUUGGAAUUUACAGUCAAAGCUAAUACCAAAAAAGUACUUUUUUAGUUUACACAAUGAAUAAUUCUUAAAGGUCCUGGCAAUGAAUAUUUUUUUGUAAACUGGUCAGUUACAGAACAUUAUUUCUAUGUGCCAUUCUUUGAGCAGGCUUCUAGUGUGUUUGCAUCUUUUCUAAGAAUCCAGCUUUGAUUAUUUAUAUAGCACUCUGAAUUACGCAGUCCUGGUACAGCUCUUUAUGUAUUAUUAAUGUCAGAGGUAGCACAGAGUAAGCCAUUAGAAAAUAUCUGAAACUAAAAGUUCAGAAUUUUUAGGGAGUUCAGGUAAUUGUCAUCAUAUUUUGAUAGCAGUUUAUGGUGAAUAGCAUCAUCAGUGUAUUGUGUAAAAUUUUACCUAUAAAUGGGUGUGGUUUCCACUACUGCUUCACUUUGUUGAAUCUCUCACCCUACGGUUCCCAUCCUUCCUUGUUUGUAAAGAAACAUUGUCUGAGAUUAAAAUGACGAAAAAAGUCGGAAGUGGGGCUUCAGCUUCCAGUUGAAUCUAUGGCUAGGUGGUGUUGUGGUUUAACCCCAGCCAGCAGCUAUGCCCCACACAGCCACUUGCUCACUCCUCACAGUAGGAUGGGGGAGCAAAAACGUAAGCAAACUCAUGGGUUGAGAUAAAACCAGUUUAAUAGGUAAAGCAAAAGCCACAAACACAGAGAAGCAAAGUAAGAAGAAAUUCAUUCACUACUUCCGAUGGGCAGGCAGGUGUUCAGCCAUACCCAGGAAAGCCGGGCUUCAUCACACCAAAUGGUUACUUGGGAAGACAAACACCAUCACUGCAAAUGCCUCCCCGUUCUUCCUUCUUCUUCCAGCUUUUGCUGCUGAGCACAGUGCCAUGUGUGCUCAUACCCAGGAAAGAUCUUCUACAAGACAAUACUCCUUACUUUGAUAAACCAUCAAAAAAGCGUGAAUCCCCAGAACAUUAAAAUCCUGUGAGGAGAUCUCUGGAUACCUGUGUUAAAGCUAAAUUUUAAAAACAGUUAAGUGUUGUUACCAGGAAAAGAGGGACUGAAACCAAGACACCAAUGUUAUUGUGUGCUGUGAUAUCAUCAUGCACUUCUAUGGAAGAUACUAAUACUUGCACAGAAACUCAAGACUCACAGUUCUUUUAAAAAUACACUGGUGAACUGUGUUAUUUCAGCCAGGAAUGUUUUUAAUUAUGACAGUUGUCAGAUACUGUUUCCUAGCAACACAGAGUUUUUCAAAACCAAAUACAAGUUAAAUGGAGUUCUUAAUCCUGAUAAUAUUUAUUUAUCAGUCUAUUGUCAAUCAUAUGCUGCUUUGAAGUAAUGUGACACCAUCAAAAGCAUGAUUUCUGAAGCUGUCAUUAAUUGUGCACUAGUAUACUGUGAUGUUUCAGACGGGUCUUAAGGCUUAUCUGAAUAAAUUAUUGAGAUUUUACA
Molecule: RNA transcript, 2857 nt
Organism: Columba livia (rock pigeon)
Lineage: Eukaryota; Metazoa; Chordata; Aves; Columbiformes; Columbidae
Gene: LYRM7
Gene name: LYR motif containing 7
Exons: 6
Source: RefSeq, a predicted model, not a curated record